RNAcentral lists this non-coding RNA (49 nucleotides) under Schistosoma mattheei. The record is from RNAcentral. Lineage: Eukaryota; Metazoa; Platyhelminthes; Trematoda; Strigeidida; Schistosomatidae.
GUCCAGCUGACGAGUCCCAAAUAGGACGAAACGCGCGUCUAUACUGAAU